UCAUCACCAAAGGAUGCAGUACUAGAA
RNAcentral lists this non-coding RNA (27 nucleotides) under Mus musculus (house mouse). The record is from RNAcentral. Lineage: Eukaryota; Metazoa; Chordata; Mammalia; Rodentia; Muridae.